UCUAGUUCGUUUUAGGAAAGCUGCACAACUUCUCAGAGCGUGGAGCAUGCACAUCAUUGUCUGAGCCAGUAACUUUUGUAAUGGAUACGUCUGUAGAACAUACAGGCAUAAAAUAUAGGGGCGGUUUAACUGGCAGCAGAGGCGUAAACCCGCCCCAGAGAAGCAGGGGGAGGAAGAGCCUCGGUAAGAGGAAGAAGUGGCAGCAGUUGGGCCAAGUUGGGAAGGGGUGGGUUGGAGUCCCUGGGUACCUUGGCCCCUGGGGGCCACCCCAACUCCCAAUGAGGACAAAUCACCCAACACAGAGCUCAAGGGACCACUGUGGAGGGCGGGCCUGUGCAACCCAGCAACCGCAUGUGACUGUUUCCUGAAGGUUUCGCAGGGAGACUGGCUCAGAGCACAGAAGCAGCACAACUCGGAACCAGGAUACCAGGAAACAGCAGGAAAACAGCAUGAACUCCCCAAGGCUGCAGAUGGCUCCAAGUUCUGGGUGGUGAAAUGCCAAGCGGAUGGCAGCGAGCAAUUAGGAAUUUAUGGAGCAUGCAGGAGAGGUGGGGAAAAUGUCCCCAUCUAGACAUGUGAUGGAGCCUCUGAGCUCAGCUGUGACCUAAAUGGGCAGCUGCAUUAGGCUGGCAUCAGGGAAGCAGAUGCUGGAUUUGGACACCCAUGCAGGGUGGACAGAGCAUGGACAUCAAGCUGUCUAAACCUGCCAUUCCUCAGAGUGGGACCUCAACCACCACGCCCUUCCAAGCCCCAGCCUUCUGAUCUAUAAAAUGGAACUGGAGGACCAUAACGAGAGAGGUGGCUCAGCAGUUAAGAGCACUGGCUGCUCUCCCAGAGAAUUCAGGCUUGAUUCCUAGUAACCCCAAGGUGGCUCACAUCUCCAGGGGGUCUGAACCCUCUUCUAGGUUCUGCAGGCAUGACACACACGCUCUCGAAUGAGCACGUGUGCACACACACACAAACACACAUACAUGCACGCACACACAUUCAUACACACACGCACAAACACACACACACACACACACACCAAGACCCAAUAAAUACCCAGUGGCACAGCACGCACUGGCCUCUGUAUAGCUUGUGUCAUUUUGCCAAAACUAACGCAGGCUUAAAUAAAAACUGAUUACAGAAGGAGCCCAAGAAAGACAUUUUUUUCAAGGAAUACAUGGCUUCUGAACCUCUCUGACAUAAACCGUGGAGGUCUCUGAAGUUGUUAUCUCAGUACAGACAGCUUGGCCAUGCUUACCACUGGUGAGCACUGCACCAGAUAGGCAGGCAGGGUAUGAGUGAGAGACUGCCAAGCACCCUCCUCUGUGAUACUCUACAGCCUCUCAGGGUAUCCUGAGAUCCCAGAUCAGGGUGCCUAGCUUAGAGCUCAGAUCCCAGCAUGGACACCACUGGUUAUCUAUAUCUGCCUUUCUCUUGGCUGAGGGCUCUUGGAAGGCCUUUAAGGUUUCUACAUCCCCAAGUCCCAAGCACAAGGUGUGUCUUAUAGUGGAUGGUCAAGAAAUCUCUGUUAGAACCUGAUGCAUUUGUUGGUGACAAACAUGCGCACCCAUCCACCUCUGGCUAACAUUAAAACGGCUGCUGGAGUUCACUGAGGCUUGUGCUGGAGGAAAUGUCCAGUGUAAAGUGUCUAAAACAGUCGUGGCUAGACACUGGCUUCCAGAGCCAGGGCUGUACUGAGGCAGCAGCAGCCAUGGUCGCCAUGUGGCUUCCUCAUGUCAAGUGGUAGUAGCAGAAGCAGCAGCAGUGAGCAGAUGCCUGAAGAGUCCCAGAGAGCAGCUGGGUCAGAAAUAACAGGAGCAGAGACAGAGGCAACAAAGACAGCCAAGAAUGGCGGAUGCAGAAAGAAGGUAAGAGAGGCAGAGAGCUGAAAAGCAUUCUGACCAGCCAGCUGCUGUCACAGCCAUCCAACUGGCUCACUACUAUCUGCUGAUGGCGUUCCAGUUGAGGCAUCUGGCCAUCAGAUAAGGGUCACCAAUGAUGGAGUCGAAACUGUUUCAGCUGCCAACAUCUCAGCUUAAAGAACACAUAGAUAUUAAAGGGAUGCUUAUCGCAGAGGCUAAUGGCUAACAUUGACGGAGUUUGAUGGUAUUUCAUAGUGCAAACACCCUCGGGGAGACUUAGGUUGGUUUAUCUGUCUCAGAUGGACAAAUGGCCUGAGGGAUGGAUUGAGGGUGGGUGGCCGGUAUACAGAUGGAGGCUACAGCUACCUGGGCAUCUCCUCCAUUCAUGUCCUGCUGUUCAGGGACCCAUUGACACUCAGCACCUCACUGUCUUCUGAGAGGCCCUAAAUCACUUGGGAAGAGUCACCCAAAGGAUGCUGUGACCAGCCACCCUAUCAGUCUUGCCCACACUGCCUGCUUUGUAGCUAAGGACACUGCGGACGUGCCAGGCCAGCUGCUGGCCCACAGGGUGCCAUGUUUGGAUAGCUCCCUGGUUCCUAGUAACAUUCUCUCCUGCCGCUCUGCCUCCUGGUUUGGCUUUAUCCAGCACAUGCUCUGGAUGUUGGCUCUACUGAGGUCUUGGUAGUAAAAUCUCUGCUUUUCUGUCUGCAUUUGCUUCCACCGAAAGCCUCAAAGGAAGGUCUGCCCAAUACCCCAUAAGGCACACAAGCCCAUCACUGCCUCCAGCCCUCCCUUCAUCCUCACCUGGCCUUCUGAUUCCAUCCAGACCCUAGUGGAGCACACAUCCCCUUUCGCUCUGAUCCCAACAUCCUUCAGACCGGCUCUCCUACAAUGCUUCCCCAAGCCUCCCUUUUUAGUGGUCCUUUGGCAAAAUGUUAGAAAUACAGAAAAAAAAAUCCAAAAAUCAGAAUGGAAAUUACCCAUCAAAAUUCUACACCCCAGAGCCGACCAUCUUUGCAUUCCCAGCCCUCCCAGCCCAUAUUUAAAGCAGGGCUACUGUCUUAGAUGCCCCAGGGAAGCAUGGGAGGAGGAGCCACUUUCCCUAUGUAGUGCUCAGGGGAGAGGCCUCUGUGGGUCUGAUGUCAGCCAUGGGGUUUUGAGCUGCCUGUUAUCAGAUGAGGCUGGUGGUCCCUGCUUUCUCAGGUUUUUGGUCUUUUCAAUCUUGAAAAGUUACCAGAUUUGGUUAAAUAUGAUGACUGUAUACUUUGUUUCAGGAGGUUAAUCUUUUUAGAUAUUAACCAUCCUCGCAUACCACAGAUUUUUGUGUGCUUACUAUUUUUCAGUGUCACUGGAUGCAGUUUGCUAGGUUUUAAAGGUAUUAUUAUUAUUAGCUGUUGUUGUUGUUGUUACUGUGUGGGCAUGCAUUCAUGCUGGGGCACAUGUGUGGAGGUCAAAAGACUAACUCUGCAGAGUUAGCUCUCUCCUUUGCAUUUUUACGUAGGUUCCAGGGAUUGAACUCAGGCCAUCAAGCUUGCAUGGCAAGCACCUUUACCUGCUGAGCCAUCUUGUUGGCCCAUCAAUUUUCUGGUUUCCUUAAGGAUUUUUUUUUUUCUAUUUUCAUAUGAAAUGUUGAUUCACUUUUCUUUCCAGGUGAUAUAUCUAAUGUUAAGCCUAACUCCUGGAAGUGAGUUGGGGAAAUUUCCUCUCCAGUUUUGGUUGGUGCUGGCUUCCUUUUCCGUUUUAGGACAGUCUGGGAAGGAGCGGCACUUCUUCAUGUGUCUGUUGAUUACCACAGUGAAGCCAUUCGGGUCUGGGCUUUUCUUGGGGGGUGGGAGAUAGAUUUGAUUGGAGGUGAUAAGAAUCUCUUACUUGUUAUAAGCCCACUGAGGUUUCCUCUUACUUUUGAUCCGUUUUGGUAAUUCCCAUCUUCCUAAAACUUUCCCCAUCUUUUGACCUAGCUUAUCUAAUUUAUUGUUCUACUCUUUUGUAAUUCUCUUCAUUUCUGAAAAAAUAAAAUAAAACAAAAAAACCAAACCACCUGGUAGUAAUGUCCCCUCUCUUAUUCCUGGUUCUACUAUUUUUAAGUUUUCUCUAUUUUGUUUUUCUUUUCUUUUUUUUUUCCCAUUUAACUUUUUUGUCAUUAACAUUUUGUCAGCUUUGUUGAUGGUUUCAAAUAGCCAAUUUUGGAUUUCUUUUCCCUCUUUCUCUUUGGUUUCAUUAUUUUCUGACAGAAUCUUACUGUUUCCCUCCUCUUCCUCCUUUAGGUUUGGCUUGUUCUUUGCCCAGUGUCUUAAGAUAGAAUUUCAGCCAUGAGUCUCUGGUAAGUCUCUGUAAGUGACAAGGAGAGAGAUGAGAGACACAGGAACAUAGACCUACUAAGGCUCAGGCUCCAUGUCGGCGUGGCUCUGAAGCCCUGUGGCUCAUUCAACAACCCUGUAGAUGCCUCAGCAUCUCCCUCCCUUACAAAGUCAGCAGCCUCCUCAAGAGUCUCUCCACACUUCCUGGCUCCUAUGACUGUUAGCUCGGACCUGUCACAGGUGACAUGACUCUCAACAUUCCCAGUUCUGCUCUCUUGAGGUAGGACCCUUCCCAAUUAGGCCUUCCCCCUCCUAGUCCCAAGAUGGCUGCUAAGAUGUCAAGCUGGUAGAGUCUCCUCCCCAGAGGUGGUUGUCUCACCAAAUGGCUGCCUCACACAGGAGACUUGCCUGUCCCGGAACCAACCGCCAUGGGCUAGGAAAUAGCAAAAUGGGAAGGCUAAUUCUGUUACACGAUGGAGCUCUGAGCAGCCUGGGUGAAGGCUCCCAGGGACACACAGGCUGGGAGCAGAGAAGAGAUGCCCUUUUGAUGUCAGGCACUGUUGUGGGAAAGGGCUGACUGUACAGCAAGGUCAUGGCCUGCUGGGGCCUGUCCUUAGUGUCUGUGCACAGCUUCUAACACGUGCCCAGUGUGCCCUCCCCCUCCUUGCUCAUGCUCCGGGAUGUGCUUGGACACUUCAAACUCCAGCAGCCCAAAUGCUCCCCACACUCCUCCAUUGCUUGGCUCUACCAGGCCCAAAGUGUCAGAACCCAGUGUGGCUGAGAUGAACAGCCGCUUGCCUCGUGUGGAUCAGCCUAUCCACGAGAGGCUGAGGGCUCCCAGCCUCUCCCUACUCUUUACUGCCAUCACUCUUGUCCUGUUGUGACUGUCAGAUGGGUGCUGCAGCCUCGAGUGGUAUGACCCAUCCCGGAAACAAGAAGGAAGACUGUGUCUGGGAACCAUCCAGAACAUUCUGUCUUGUCAGCCAUCAGUGAGCUUGACCACCAACGUUGGCUGCAGACAACACUGAGGAAGACAAAGAGAAUUUAUGUCUUAUUAAGAGCAACUCUGAGCCCCACGCAUCCCUGGGGCUGAAAAUAAGCCAGAAGGGGUGGGGAAACCCCAGGAAGGCCAAGCCAGGGCCGCACUUUCUAGAGACAGGGGUGACUUCUGGAAUGCUCCCAACUUUUGCCUGCCACUGCCCUUGUCUUGGACUGAGACAGCACAGCAAGGGACAGCCCCACAGGCUGGGGUUUUCCCCAGGGUCCCCCAGAGAAGCACAGAUGUGGAAAGGCAGGCUGCUCAUCCAAGUCUAAAAACUCAGCCAUAUGGAGCUGGGAAGAUCCUUCCCGUCGCUUUGAAUGUACGGCGCCGUCCGCAACAACCAACCUCAAGUGCCCUGAGACUCUGACAGCUUCCACCCAGGCCCACACACCAGGCCCAAAUCACCGCACAAGUUAAACAGGCUGUUAAAAUUAAGCAGAAUGAACCAAAUGUGCAGGGGUGUGGGACACAGCGAGAAGGCUGCCUUCUGUACUCAGGGGGCGGUGGCCUCCGAGAAGCCAGCCCCGCCCACACCUUGAUCUAGGACUGCCAAGCUCCAAAACUGUCAGGAAAUCAAUUUCAAUUUUUAAAGCCAACGGUCUGUGGCAUUUUGUUAGAGGUAUCCAUGCACACAAAUACAUCAGCUGUUCCUAUCUGUGCACCCCCCCCCCACAAAAAAACAUCACUCACUCCAUGUUUACCUGCCGCGUAGUAGGACUCAUUUCCAAAGCGCGUUUCAGUUUCAAAGGUUCCCAUUUCUCUUCCCACCUCCAUGACAAUAAAAAAGUGGUUCCUUUUUUUUUUACCGCUAAGACCCAGAUGAAACCUGCCUGAGUUUCUCCCUCAAGCACCAACACAGAAUCCUAACUCUUCCUAGCAGACUCCCCAGAGGCCUGGCACUGUCUCCCUGACCACCACGGCAUCUCCACAGAGAAACUCGACACAGGGGAGGUGCCUGGAGAAAACUGUGCCAUAGAAGAGGAUGGUCCAGUGUGUUUGUGGACCCUCCCCUGCUCUCUUGCAAGGUACAGUUACAUGCGAAGUCUACCCUCCUGUUAAAAUAGGACAGCAAAGUCCACCCCUAGGUCCUGCUAUCCAUCUGGUUCCCAGGCAGGAAUGGAAAGCAGCUGUAAUCUGCAUCUACACACACACACACACACACACACACACACACACACACACACACACACACACACGAGUCUUCCCAGGCAGCGGCCCACCUCACAGCAAGGUUGGUCAAGGGCUGCUACCUAGUGCAGGGCUCUUCUCAAUGUCCCCACUCCUGAAAUGACACCCAUAGUCUAUCCCUUCUGAGUACAAUGCCUCCUGUCCUAAAACUCAACAGCCUUGGAGGCUCUAGGAAUGGCCAGUCAUCCCACUGAGAACACAGGGAGGCGGACUCAUGAGUUUUAACAAACACUUUGGUGUCCUAAUGUGUUCUAGGAGUGGGGGAGGACACUGGAGAAGAUGGAGCAAACAUGUGAGAUGAAUCCUGCCCUGGAGCAGCUCACGAGUGAUGAACUCUGGGCUCUCUGUGAUGCUCACCAUGGCUCUGGGCUCUCACAGGCCCACAGCUGCUGGGCCAUGCAACCCUGCAUGGAAACCAGGAUAAACCAGAAUAAACCUUUUCCUUCUUUUAAUUUGACUUGUCUCAGAUAUAGGACAUAGUUCCAGAAAGCUGGCUUACAGACCCCUGAAAUACUGCUAUCCCCAGAACAAGUCUGAGCUAGGCUGAAGGAUAAGGCCAGACGGAGAAGCACUGGGGUGGUCCUACCACAGCCUCCAACUGCUGAGCUGGUGGGUAAAGCCAUCUGCAACCAGCAAGCACCUUCACAGCCUGCCCUACUCACAGGCCAGCCACUACAACAGACCUCAAAGGUCCAGCCAAGGACAACAGACACCUGUCAGGUGGAGCCCUCACAGACCAACAACCCCCAACCAUUCACUGAGUCACGGCAACAGAACAUUAGCAAAGAUGCUCGUUGACACUCUGCCCACUCAAGACCUAGUGAGUGCCACCGUAGUGACAGCCUCACCUGACCCCAUGCAUCGCCAGCAUUUCCACAUGAUGAAGGAGAAAGACACAGAUGUAGACUGAGCGUGUGUCACACCGGGGCCACUGAAAACCAGUCCCAUCAGUGCUACACCCGACUGCUACAUGUGGUCCUCUGGAGCUGUCUCGCUCUCCUUCCAGACAACAAAGAAGUACUGAGAGAUCACACAGUACCCCACACGUGGGUCAAAUAAUCAUAACAGUGAUGAAUAAAAACAAAAUACAGAUGCUGGCCACAUGCUCUUGGUAGGAAUAUACAUUAGUGUGGCCAGUAGAAGGUGAGGGGGGCAUCCACAAGACACUAGAAACAGAACUACUACAUGACCCAUCUGUAGACCAUCCCUAGGUAUGUCCCUGCAAAAGAAGAAACCAGUACAGCAGAGAGAGACUCAUAGCAAGCUCUUGUUCACUGAGUAGAAUGGAUGGACAAAGAAGAUAUAGUGAAUAUUACCCAGCCAUGAAAAGGGACGAAACGGUACCAUCUGCGGCAAUGUGGAUGGAACUGUGGGACGCCGUGUUAGAUGAACUGAGCCAGGCACAGACAGCCAUGUAUUGAAUGCUCCCCCUCACAUGUGGAAGCCAGGAAGCUUACUCCACAAAAAUCACUGGAUGGUAUCACGAGAAGCAAGCAGGGGAUGCAGAGAGCAAGGGAGAGGAGUCAGCAGCAAGGUUCUUCAGCACCUAGACUAUCUUAUAAAGUCGCACAGGAGAACAGUCAUGACUGUAGUGUCUCUAGGUCUGGACCCAGUGCUGCGAGGCAGAGGAAAGUGGAGCGUGAUGGAAGGCAAAUGCCCACAGUCAGCGGCCUGUGAACAGCCCGGGAAACUGGCCUGCUUUGAGGAGGGAACUUCAGCCAAAGGCUAUGGAUGGCCAACAACACAGUUUCUUCAUUUCCUCCACCUUCCACAAACUCCACCCCCCUAGUCCGAUUUCACUUUCCUCUGCUAUGAUAACCAUCAUGACCAAAGGCUACUUGAGCAAAAGUGGGUUUAUCUUAGCUCACAACUCUCAGGCCACCCUCCAUCACUGAGGGAAGCCAGGGCAGGAGCCUGGAAGCAGGAACCGAAAGCAAAGGCCAUGGAGGGGUGCUGCUUACUGGCUUGCUCCGCAUGGCUUGCUCAGUUUACUUUCUUAUACCAUCCAGAACCACCUACCCUGGGAGACGCACCAGGGUGGGCAGGGACCAGUUAGUGACCAAGAAAACACCUCCAAAGACUUGCUUAUAGGCCAAUACUAGGAAGGUAUUUCUCAAGUGAGGUUCCCUCUUCCCUGGUGACCCAGUUUUUAUUGACAGCGAACCAGCACACCCUUUAACUCUCCAGAAGUCUCCUGCAAGUCCCCUUGCCUGCGAUUAUAAAGACAUUCCAUGCUCAAAUCUGUGCUUUCCCAACUUUUAGGUCCUCCUCUUCUUUCUUCCAUUUCCUUCUGUAUUUCAUCCCUCUCUCCCUCCCACCCUUUCCUUCCUUCCCUGUCUCUUCCUUCCCUCCUGCUUGCUUUCCCUUCCUCUCUUCCUGCAUGCUGAGAAUGCUAAGAUCAAACAUAAAGAAUCUAAUGUGGACCUCACCUCUCUCUCUUCGCUGAGGCCACAAGGAUUUGGUAAAUGAGACUAGAACCGGGCGGCCAGCAGCACCAAGGGAUUGGUAGGCCUGGCAGGAGAGCCUGUGGCACCUGGCUCUUUAUGAAGCCCUCAGACACACAGAGCACAGUGUUUCACCCAUGAGCAUUCCGGGCCCGCCCCGCCCCGCCCCCACACUAACAUGGCUCUGAGAACUGAAAAGAGCCUCCUCCCAACAGGAACCUUGGAUGACUCUAAAAUGUGGGUCAAGGGUCAUCUUGUAAUCUCAGCUGUGAAAACUUGCACCACUAAAGACCAUUUUACCUCUUUACACAAAGACAUCAAGAGCCUGGGUCACUGGCAUGGUCAGAGUGCCCCUGGGAUUGCGAGCCGAACCUAAAGGUGCCGACAGACUGUGGUGGACAAGGCUUCCAUUCACAAAGGGGCUUAUUUUGCUACCUGCCCUCUCAGACUCCAUCAGCAAACAAAGCCAGAUUUGUAUCUGCAGAACAUUCUUAGAGCCACUGGGGGAAUUUAUCCCUUAAGCGGUCGGAAAAACCAACCUCAGCACGGCGGCAGCCUCCACUCUUCUCAUCAGAAAAAUCUCUGCCAUUCCAACAGUCUUUAAAAAAAAGAAAAUUGCCCAGAAGGGAUGCCCUACUUAAAAGCAAGACGGUUUGCUGUGCUAAUGCACCAGCAGGAAAAAUAACAGCUUCCGAUGAGGGGAAGGAACUUGUGGAAAUUCUUAAAAUAGGCAAAAGAAUACGGAGGUGCUUCUAAAUGGAGGUAAGGGAUUAAAAAUAGCAGCGCUGCUGGACUGUGCACAGUAGGGCCAAAGUUCUCAGGGUUGGGGGUGGGGUGGGUAACAACAGGUGUUACAGCAAAGCCUAUGUCUUCCCUCCCGUGGCGAGUAGACAGAGUGAACCAUGGCUGCUUUCUUCACAAAUGUUAUGUGGUUGGCUGGCCAUUCUGGGCUAUGAGAGCCCACUCUCCAUUUCUCCUACUGAUUCACUUCAGAUCCACUCCACUGAGUGUUCCCAAAUGACUUGGGGACCUGUAGGCUCAGAGCAGCCCAGCAUUUCCUGAGCAGGGACUAAGUGCCCAGGAGACAUGUGCCCACUGGGCCCCUGAGUGGUGCAGGCUCUCCUGUCAAGCAGUGGGACUCUGUAGAUCCUCCCCUCUCUCCAUGUCCGUCACCAUCAGGCAGGGACAACCUCAGUCUUCUUCGACUCCACCGCUUCUGGGAUGGCCUUCCUUGCCUCUCAUGUCACGCCCAAUGUCCCCAGCCAGCCAGCAGUGAAGCAGUGAAGACACAGAUCUGUGGCUUCAACUCUGCCUGGCUUUCCAUUUGGCACCUCUGCCCUGUCUUUCCUUCUAGAAGACAGACAAACGCUCCUGAGGACACUGGGUGAAAGGGCAAGGGCUGAGAUCCAGCACCAACCAGCCUUUGGGGCAAUGCCAACCAUGGCUUCACAGGAUCCCUCCUCUCCCUAGCCUUUGCCACAUGGCAGCUCUACACACACACACACACACACACCCUCCCUGGAAGAGUGCCCAUGGCCUCCCUCCCUCCACCUGCUCUAUGCCUGGUGAGUGGAAAUGACCACACUAAGUGACCUGUGAGUAGGAGCCUGGGCGACACAGAGGAAAAGCAGAGAAGGCCGGGGCAAGCCUAAGCAGCCAGUGCCCAUCAUGCAACUCAUGUGCCAGAGCUGGGCCACCCUGAUCCUCAUGGAGGUGAUGUCACCAGAAAGUAUGGCAGAAGAGCCUAUGUGAAGAUACCCUAGGCCCGUGUCAGCUAAGCAAAUAAGGUGGAGCGGUGACGCCUAGCCCCAAGUGGCAUACGUUCAGAAUUGGUACAGGGAAAUGGAGACGUUGACAUAAUCUGAAAGCAGAUGACCUGAUCGCAGGACGUGCAAACUGGGAAGCAAGAAAGAGGCAAAGACCUGGCUUACAGCCUGCCUGGGGAGAAGCAGCAGCCAGGCUGACCUCCGAGAACAAAAUGUCUACCAGUAGGAAGAGGUGGACAUGGUGACGAUGUGCAAGUUCUUCAUCUCUGCAUCUAGCUAGCUCCAGAUGGCUGGGAGGGAUCCUUAUCCUGGAUAGCCACGUGCCUGCCCAGUGUGAGGCGGGUGCUAUGGGGUGGCAGGAGGAAGAAGGACUGUGGCGUCUGAAUUAGCUUCUAGCAAGUGGCUUCUUCCCCAGAUAGAUUUGCAUAGGUGGGAGGAAGUGUUUCAGGUUGGUACUGGCACUACUCCAGACAGAGAGAGAAGGCAGAGGGAGGAGGAACCAAGGUGGUCGGGGAAAGGAGGCACAGAGGUCCCUCGGGACAGCCCAACUCUGGGGAGCUGGAGAAGAGCUGUGAGCGACUGGGCUCAUGCUUAUCACAGAGCCACCAGUGAGCCUGGUUUGCAAACACCGCCCUUGCCAGCCCAUGGCCCAUGCACCCCCCUCACAGCCCCGCCCUACACUCCACAGCGCCACAGAAAAAAUCUUGAGGAUGGUGGGGUUGGCACUGGGUUUUAGCCUGGCCUUCACGAGAGGUUAGAGAUGGAGGAGAGGGAGGGCUUGUCUAACAAGGCCAUGGCAGGGCUUGGGAUCUGGAGUCUCAGCCAUGUGGCUAUCUACAAAUACUGACAGCAAUGGAGAGGUUCAACACUUGCCCAAACCUAAGGCUUAAAGCUAGACGCCAGCCAGCCAUCAGGUGCUAGAGGCUCCCUCCAAUGGUGUCACAGUGGCCUCAGAGAACAAAGCAUGAAGGAACAACCUAGAGACCAAGUGCAUGGAACAGGAGGAGACCAUCAUUCUGGAGAAGAGAGCGCGGUUGGGUCUGGCUCAGCCCCAUCCACUUAGCAUCUUCUCCAGGCAGAUGAAGAGAGGCACUUCUGCCUGGAGCCAGCAGGUCAGGGCAGCGCUGGGUAAUCCUGUAAUUACAGAGUGCACUCCAGCCUCUGUCACAAGAAGCGCACAAGCACUGUAGGGGCGUCUCCAUCACCAAAUGAGCAUUGUCCUCUGGACAGCGGGACUCCCACCCAGUGUGCUUGCCAUUCCUGACUCUCUCUCUCCUGAUUCAAAGUUGCACUUUGUAGGGACUGAGGGCCACUUGGUGAAAGGAACAAAAAGGUUGACUCCAGGGCAAGGAGCAACCAUGGAUGCCCAGUGCAGGAGAAUAUAGGACCUCUUGACCCCAACUGUGGCCCUGCCCAUCAGAGGGAACUUGCCAAGGAACUAGGAGCUGAAGUUGCCAGCAUCUGGAGUCUGAGUGGGGCAGCUUGUCACCUGGGGCGGUAUGGGUGAUGCUUUUUCCCACUUUCCCCAGAACAGACACAGAUCUUUAAUCAAUAUGCUACAUUUGAUGUGUGAAUAAUCUCGGUGAAUUCCCUUCCCUUUUCUCCUUGCCCUAUGAAGUAAUCUAUCCCAACCCCAAAGUGUAAGAAUUAAGAAAACGUUACCUGUAAGUGUUGCACAUAUAAUAUUAAAUAAAAAUCCACUCUAUAUCGCCAGCUCCGUUCUGGUGACAUGGUUACCCCUCCCCCAAUGGGAGCUACAAGCCCAGUUCUUCCCUGUUCCCUGCAGUUCCGUUUGCCUGCCUCUGAACCACUCCCUAUCUUCCUAUCCAUCCUCUCUGCCCUUCCUCUCUGUCCCCUGUCCUCUGUCCCUGAAACUCUCAACCUCACCUUACAUUUUCAUUGUCCAAUUACAGACUCUGGUCUUAAAUCACACCUGCCCUCACCUGCAGACCGACUGCAAUCCACAUGGUAAGGACAGAGUUGGCUAUGAUUCAUAAAAGUAAUAACUUUUACUUUCCUGCUGUAAUUGUCAUCUUACUGCCUCUGUCUGCUAACCUAGGCCUAGUCCUGGAAGCUUCUAGCUGCCACACAAUCUAAUCUAGGCCUAGGAUGUUUUCAGCCUCUGGGACUUACUGCUGAAUAAGCUCACUCCUUCCUAGUUCUUUCUGAGCUCUGACUGGCUGGUUCAACCUAGCUGUUCUGGCUCAAACUCCUCUCCAAGAUGACUGAGUCAAUCUGGCUUUUCUCAGUUUCUCCUGAACUGCUCUGCCUGGCCUCAUACUAACGUUGGCAAUCUACUCUAAUCUUCUGGCUUCUCAUUCUCUGGCUCGUUCUGUCUUCACUGGUGUCUAGCUGGCUCUCUUUCUACAACUGUCUCUGUAAAACUCUCCCAGGAAAACUGCUUUCUCCUCUCUGCACUGCCCCUCAAGUAGCUUCCCUUCCCUCUCUCUUCUCACGGAGAAUUGGGCGUAUCCUAGUCUGUCAAAUCUUUCUCUGAUUCACCAAUUUGUCUGCCACUCAAUUAGACACCACUUUCAAGCACCGCUGCUUCCUUCUACAAACUAACUUUACCUUCGCAUUGUUUGGGAUUAAAGGUGUGCACUAAGGGUGUGUUUGCAUUCCAGCCAGAGGGAUUAAAAGUGUGUGCUAAGGGUUGAAUCACACCACAACUAGAAACAGGUUUUUUUUUGUUUUGUUUUGUUUUGUUGUUUGUUUUCUUUUUAAAUAGUGAAUAACACAGUUUCAAGUUUCAACGUGUGAUCAAAUAUCCUGCAACAAUGAUUGGUGGUGUGUUCAGGAGAGUAACUAACACAGACUUUGAAGAACCUGGGAAAACCUGGCAGUGUCUGUGUGUGGGUGUGGGUGAGUAUGGGUGUAUAUGCACACGUGCACAAAUGUGUAGGGGGCAGAGGUCCACCUCAGAAGCCCAGUGUGAAUAGGGCCAGGCUGACUUCUGCCUGUCUCUGAUUCCCCCACACUAGAAAUACUGGUGUGCGUCCACUACACUGCUCCAAGUUUUUUACAUAGGUUCUGAGACGUCUCCCCAGCCUGCUAGAUGCCGUGUAACCUUGUAUCUCUGGCAAAGCCACAACAGUAGCCACCACAGUGUUCCCCUCUGGAUUGGUGCAGAUAUUAAAGAGGUCAGGUAUGGACAGGGUCUAGUCCAGUCUCUGAACCUUACUUGGUCCUUCACAAAAACUGAGAUCCACGGUGUAUAACACGGUGUUUUCAUGUCUGUAAAUAUGUCUGGGUAAGUAAGACCGUCCUUGAGGUGGCCAAAGGGGAUAAUGAUUCAUUGAACCCAAGAUUCCAGAUGGCCAUAUUAAAAAAGCAUGUUUGCAUGUUCACACUGUAACAAGAAUGCUCCCCUCUUCCUUGGGGAUUGGAGCAUUUGCCAUUUAUAAAGAUAUAAUCAGCUUUUGCUGUAACAACUAUCCCAAGGACAACUCUCUCCUUCCUCGGGGUCCCCUCAGAAUUUUAACCAGCGUUCAGAAGCAGGUUGGGCCAGUUUGCCAGCUUGUGGCCAGCAGACACCAAUAAUUUUGUUGCCUGGGCACCUGCAGAUCCAGCCUUCCAGACAGUGAGGCCUCUCAGGCAGAAUGUCCCAGCAGGUGUUCUGGGGAUGGGAGGAUAUCCCAGGGGAUAGAAGGACAACAAGCAGAAUAGAAAAGCAAGCUAACAAAUGCCAAGUCACAAGGGCAGACACGGGCCCUGCGGGAAUCGGGCCCCUGGACUCCAGGGGCAGGCGGCCGAGGCUCAGUGUAGCAAAGAAACAGGUGCACAGGCUAUUCCUGUGGCCAGUGGGACAGGCAUGGAGAUCCAGCCUCCUUGUUCUUUUCUUUUCUUCUCUUUUCUUUUCUUCUUUCCCCUCUUUCACCCUUUACAGGGAGGAGGCAUGCUAUGCAAGGGGCAGCCCAGAUUGCAACGAGGAAAGGGAAAAAAGCUUUGGGGUCGGGGUGGGCUAGGCCCAACAUGAUUUGAGGUACUCUCUCUUCCUUACAGCAAGCGGAUGGUUCUAUGUGAGCCAUAGCAUUUUGGGGUCACUUGGACCAUGAAAGGCAAAAGUUUGCCAAGCAGCCGCUCCUGUGAUUAGGAUCUGGAGAUGCCUGGCUACCAGCUGGCACAGUCCUCUGCCCUAAACCACAUUGUCCUCCCACCACUCUGAGUGGUUACGAUACUUUCUCCAGGACCAUGACGUCCUCUCCAAGGUCCAUCAACUACAAGGAUAAAUCUGUCUCUAGUGGAGCAUUCAGGGACAGUGCUGUCCCAACUGGUCAGAGAUGGUUGUGAAAUGUUUCCAAGAGCGACACUAUCAGAGGCAGGCUGUCCCCAGCUCCAAAGUGAGUUUACCAAUUGAAUUUGGCUCCAGGAGGUGGUGGCGGGCCAGGUGGACAGUUACCUGAGUUAUCUGUGAAAGCAUGGCAGGACCCCCGGACCUGUCUGUCCUCUCUUACAGCACACAGUAUAGGAAGUGGCCAAGCCACAAAUGCUAGUGGUUCUCCUGCUUUCUCUCCUUCAUGCCUCCUGCCUGGAACCUUCUUUUUUUUUUUUUUUUUUUUUUCUGAAUGCACUUCCCCACCCCCAAAUCCUUGCUCCCAGUAGCGGUCAACUCUCCAGCCCUGCUCCUACAUCCAUCGCAUCCAUCACAAGGCAGAUGCUGACAUCCGAAAGCCAGCUCAGCUGAAGCCAGGACGUUGGCUUGCUGUCUCUAACUGGAGCAAAGGCAAGUGAGCUGGGAGCUGCCUGCAUGGCAACUUCUGUGGGGGGGAAGAUUGUGAAAACCACCCACAGCCUAGGCAAGGGCAGCCAACUUGGCCAUUCCUGGCCCAGUCCACUACUUCCCUUCCCCCACUGAAGACUGCAGGCCCUCUGUGUUUUACUGUGAACUGGGGCACUGUCACUACUCCACCAACAAAGCCUGCAAAGGCUGAGGCUGGACAUGAACAGUGGACUUUCAGUCCCUGGUCCCCUCCUGGAGUGACUGAACCGCUCACUAUACAACAACUUGUUAGAAAGUAUAAAGAGCGCUCAGUGCUGGUAGCGGUUAGCUCUGGGGGAAUUAAUGAUUAAUGAGGACAGCAAUGCUCCACGCACCACACACCUGCACACUUGCACACCCGGGCACACUCUCCUCCAAGAGCUGGCAGGAACAAUCACCAACCAGCCUAUGCACCACUGCCCACUUUGAAAACACACAACUUGGUGUAGCUGCACAGAAGCUAGGGCAUUAAAGUCACUCCUUCUGCACUGUUAAUAGGAAUCCCUCUGGAUUGCACCCACCUUGUUGAGAGAGCUACAACUGGGUAACCCCAGAGCCACGGUGGGAGCACAGUUCAUACCCACCAGGACCCCUUGGGAGACAAGAGGCCCAUGGAGCAGACAGGGUCCUACUCUCUAGCACCGUAUGGCUUGGAACUCAUAGAUAUUUACCUGUCUGCAUCCUAAGUGCCGCCAUACCCAGAAUAACAUUGGAUUUAUACAAUCAAGAAAAGGGAAUCAACAGCAAAGGAUUGGUGAGCUGCAGAAAUUCUCAUGGAUUGUUGUCUUCUCACACAGCAGAAGACGUCAGGGACCCCUUUCAUUCUGAGCACAGCAAGGAAGUCACUAGCAGUCCUUGCCUGUGUUGUGCACACAGAAACCUCCAGAACAGGACAUCUCUAGAUCUCUAGACGCAACCAACUCGAACAAGAAAUUGCCUGUGGCAGGCUCUUCUGUAACUACCAGGACCUGGCGAGGGGACAAUUUGAGAAAAAGUGUCAUCUUUCUACCCACUCAAGAGCUUUCAUGUGGCCUGCAAUGCCCUGAGGCUUGAAGACAUUGGUCACGCUGGAAAUCCCAGUGAAGAAGGGGAAAGAACACACUAGAAGGCAGCCAGAACACAAGCACUUCUACCACAGAAACUUCAGUGAAUGUGACUAGACUUCUCACAGUCCUCAGGAUCCCGACUGGUGUAAACCUCUAUUAUAAGUCUUUUGUGGUGGAAGAAAAGUGGAGACCAGGAAUACAAGUUGUGCUUAGAGAAAAACGACAGAGCGGGUGUAAGACUUGGCAUGUGAAGUCAGGUGAAAUGAAGCUGAGUAAUUUGGGCCUCAGAAACUAGUAGUGCUGGCCAGCUGGGUCACUUCCUGGUAAGUUUCUUCACCUCAAUGACCUGCUUUCUCACCUGAAGCAGGGGAAACCCCUAGCCAAGACUAUGACUGUGGUACCUGUGGCUUAGCUCCACUAAACUGCAAGUGUCAAACUUGACACAAGAAAAAGAGCCUUGGCAUAUGAAAUUUUUAAUCUGAAUUUUAGACAAUGUUGAUUACACAUUGCAAACCUAGAUGUCCUCUGCUGGGCAUGUGAGGUAUAAGAUGUUGAUGGGACAGGGUACUUUCUGCUCUAGGACAGUGAGAGGAUGUGUCUCUUUCUGCUGGGACAGGGGGUGCUUGAGCGGCAGCAGGCUUGUGCAUCUGGAAUUGGAGCUCUGAGACUGAAGUCAGCCCAGAAACAGUCCCUGGAGCUGAGAGGGCAUCACCCUUGACUGAGGGAUGGCAGCAGAGGUGUGGCUGGGCAGUGCAGACACUGCUCCUGUCAGCAGGGGACUUGGCCCGUGAGCACAUUUACAAUAUUUGCAUUGCUAACCAAUAUCUAACAACCAUGACAUCUCACCCAGUAAUGCUAGUUAUUGAGUCCUAGCUAGAUUCUCUCUUGCAUUGACAGCAGGUCACAGGUCAGAGCUGCCUCUGGGGAUUGAUUGUUGUCUGCUAGAGAGCCUUGGCUCCCUCCAUGGUCCUUCCUUUAAAAGACAAAUGCCAAACAGAGCACAUCACUCAUUGUAAGCCAUUUGUACCUCUCCUUACUUCCCACCCCUCAUCCAGGUUCCCUUGAAAAUAUCCAACUCGGAUUUCCAGGUUGUUUGACUGGGUGGUGCUUUCCUGAGUCACUUACAUGGAGGAAGGGAGGAGGCUUGGGAAGCAGGGGUCAAGUUCAAUGUGGGCUUCUGAAAAACAUUGUUGGUUUCUCUGGGGGAAGCCAACCCGGAAGGCCGGACGAGAUAUACAGUAGGUCAGAGUGGAGGUGAAGGUUUAGGAGUUGCCAUUUGUGAGCAGUGAUGUCAUGAGCAGGCUUUACACAGGGAAUGUGAUCUGGAAGGACGAUGUGUCCUGGGGCGCUUCCUGUGAGAAAGAGAAAAAAAAUGGGAAAGAGUGAUAUAGAAGUGAUAGAUACAGGAGUCACAGGAGCAGGAUUCACAUUCUAAAGUCAUUGCAUGCUCCCAGAAAGAGCCUGAAACUCCCCAGAAGCAAAACAAAAAGCAUUGAGAGUUAUACACUAGGGCCAGCAUCACUGCGAAGUUGGAGAGAACCCACUUCACAGAUGAGUAAGGAGAGACAUCAAUUUGCAUUGACUUACAAAGUGAUUGGAAGCAAGUGUAGACAGUCCUUUCCAGGCUUCUGCAAAGAAGAGGCAACACAGGGAAGAAUGAAGCCACUGGACCCUAGAGCCUGGCCACUAGGACUAAGAUCCUAGCUCUGCUGGCCUGGGACUCCGUGAUCACAAUCAAGUGCAUGGCUCACUUCCUGUCCCUAUACAAGGUCUGUUUUGUGGAAAGAAAUGGAACACUCAGGCUGAGUACUAAGCACAGUGCCUACUGCAGGGUAGGUGAGGUGAAAAGAACUCCAUUAGGCUCGUAGGCACAGUGGAGAGGCAGGGAGAGCUGUCCAGCUGGUGCUGUUAGAAUCAGAAAGCGACAAGAAGUACAGUGAGUGGGGUGACUCCAAGCAAUGUGUGUGGUGCGUGUCUUAAAAACACUGGAAAUAUCCUGCACGUUUCAUAAUAAAGAAUUGAUAAAGGUUUGCAGCUA
Long non-coding RNA from Mus musculus (house mouse), 18430 nucleotides. RefSeq annotates it as predicted gene, 26588. The record is from RefSeq and is a predicted model, not a curated record. The transcript is spliced from 5 exons. Lineage: Eukaryota; Metazoa; Chordata; Mammalia; Rodentia; Muridae.